Molecule: ribosomal RNA, 377 nt
Filed under: uncultured bacterium
Lineage: Bacteria
Description: bacterial SSU rRNA
Rfam family: Bacterial small subunit ribosomal RNA
Source: RNAcentral
UAAGACAGAGGUGCCGAGCGUUAGGCGGAAUCACUGGGCUUAAAGCGUGUGUAGGCGGACCGUUAAGUACCUUGUGAAAUCCCCCGGCUCAACCGGGGAACGGCUGGGUAUACUGGCGGUCUUGAGCCACCUAGGGGCGAGCGGAACAAGCGGUGGAGCGGUGAAAUGCGUAGAUAUCGCUUGGAACGCCGACGGUGAAAACAGCUCGCUGGGGGUGUGCUGACGCUGAGACACGAAAGCCAGGGGAGCGAACGGGAUUAGAUACCCCGGUAGUCCUGGCCCUAAACGAUGUCCACUAGGUCACGGCGGUUUUGACGCCGUCGUGGCCGAAGCAAAAGUGCUAAGUGGACCGCCUGGGAAGUACGGUCGCAAGGCUA